Molecule: long non-coding RNA, 2886 nt
Organism: Podarcis raffonei (Aeolian wall lizard)
Lineage: Eukaryota; Metazoa; Chordata; Lepidosauria; Squamata; Lacertidae
Exons: 2
Source: RefSeq, a predicted model, not a curated record
UCUUCCUCAUGCUAACACCUUCCCUCUUGUCAGCCUCCGAUUGUAGCUUCUGAGUAUAGCAGCUGCCACACAUUCUCUCCCCUCUUCUCAGUGCUGCUUACAGGUCUUCUACCUCUUCCUCCGCAGUUCCCCGAAAUGGAUGCCAGUUCGGACAGCUCCCUGAGCGUAGACAAUGAAGGUUAUGAGAGUGACUCCUUGGGGGACUCUGGAAACCUCACGGAUGUGUUCCCCCGAAAUGGAUAUCGGCGACUCUGAAGUUGUGUGCAGGACCACAAAUGGGUAGAAACCCCUUGCACCCCAGAGAGACCCUGGCUCAGACAGCCUGCUGAACUUAGACCAUGAAGUUUACUAGAGCAACACAUCGUGGGACUCAGGAGACCUCAAAGGAGGUAAGUGGCAGACAGAAGAGGAGGGAAGCCCAGGUAGGGAUGGCGAAGGACAGCUUUGCAGGAUCAGGCCAGGUUGCAGAGGAUUCUGGGAGUCUCUCCCCUCUUCCCAGCACUGCUGACAGGGCUUCUCCCUCUUCCUCCGCGGUUCCCCGAAAUGGAUAUCGGCGGAGUUCAUUUCAGCAUUUCUACUGGCUCAACACUUUCUGGGUUUUCUUUGGGGGAAUUUUUUUUGCCUCGAUUGACAGCGGUUUUCCAUUUCACCUCUCGACGUGGAGGCACACUUUGGCUCUACAAAACAUCUGCUCAAAAAACAAGAACGAGCAGACUUGUCUCCAGAUCGAUUUUCUUUACAUUUGAACAUUUAAAGUUUCAAGACCGGGAGCUGCAAACAGGCAAGACAUGUCGCCGGGGUGACCUGCAGCUGGUAAGUGUUGCUGGUGGAGGGUUUUAACGCCUAGGGAAGCAUCAUGACUGACAGUCACCUGUCCAGAUAAUCAGGCGCCCAGAAAAAGAAAGCUAACCUCUCCGGUUUUGAUUGGAAACAAUGUAAAGGCUGUUUUCCAAUUGGAGCGCUCGCAGGCCAGUGUUUCCCAGUUGUCUGUGUUUAUACAGUGGUACCUCGGGUUACAUAUGCUUCAGGUUACAUACGCUUCAGGUUACAGACUCCGCUAACCCAGAAAUAGUGCUUCAGGUUAAGAACUUUGCUUCAGGAUGAGAACAGAAAUUGUGCUCCGGCGGCGUGGCAGCAGCAGGAGACCCCAUUAGCUAAAGUGAAGCUUCAGGUUAAGAACAGUUUCAGGUUAAGUACGGACCUCCGGAACGAAUUACGUACUUAACCCGAGGUACCACUGUACUACAUUUUCUUUAGAUUUGCCUUGAGAGAGUCUUUAAACCUCUUUUGUUGACCACCGGCAUUACGCUUUCCAUUUUUAAGUUCGAAAUAGAUUACAGUGGAACCUCUACUUAGCACCAUAAUCCAUUCUGGCGGCCCAACCUUUAGGAGAAAAGGGUCGCUGGUAGAAGCACCAUUGUGUGCAUGUGCAGACGGUGGCAGCCACUUCUGCGCAUGUGCAAACAGCAGAAGCCACUUCUGCGUGUGAGCGAAUUGCAGCAAACCCAGUAUUUACUUCUGGGUUUUCCUUGGUUGCGACUUGGAUCAGGCCCAAGUAGAGGCGGUCGUAAGUAGAGGUUCUACUGUAGUUGCUUUGGAAGAUGAUAAUCUGGCAUCUGCACAACACGACCAAUCCAACCAAGUUGAUGUUGAAGAAUCAUUGCUUCGGCACUGGUGAUCUUUGCUUCUUCCAGUACACUGACAUUAGUUCGCCUGUCUUCCCGAGUGAUACGUAACAUUUUUCAGAGACACUGUUGAUGGAAUAUUUCGAGGAGUUGGAGAUAGCAUUUAUAACUGAUCCAUGUUUCACAAGAAUACAGUAAGACUGGUAGUACAAUAGCUUUGGAAACAAGCAUGUUGGUUUCCCGGUCCUCAAACAAUCUGCCCUUCAAUCGGGAGAAAGCUGCACUCACAGAGCUCAGGCAAUGCUGGAUUGCUCCUGGCCAUGGUCUAGCGAUCAGAUCCACCUCUGUUUUGCAGUCAUGGAAACCCCUGUUGUCAGAUUGCAGCCCAUGAGACUUGAACAAACAGCGUCUUCCUUGCACUUUUGCAAGCAUUCAAUCAGGGCACUCUCCCAUGUUAAGCACAAUUCAAACAUUUUCUUCCUACAAAUAUACAACAGCUGCCAGUUUGUCCUUAUAAAAUGUAUUUUAGGAAAGGAGUGUAUGGAGCCCUCAGAUCACAUAGCUCUGGCUUCAUUCCACCCCAAAAUGAGAGAAAAGGUCGAGUUUUUGUUUUCUAUGUUCAGGCCACUAACCCCAACUGGAAAAAAAACCUUCAGUCUCCACUAAUUUAUACACACACUUGUAUUAGGAUGGUGGUGGGAAUAAGUGUCACUGAACUAAACAGAGCCUACUUUUAAGUAGACAAAUAUAUGAUUUCACUGUUAAUUGUUUAAAAUGUGGCCCACAGAUUAUUUAAGAAUCUGUACUAUGUUUCUAAAAGUGGGAGUGGGAGGGGAUUCUUGAGGGGUCAACAUGACUGAACAAAAAUGUUAUCUAUAUCACACAUCCAUAGGCAUCUUAUCUGGCACAAACAAAAUUCUCUACAUUGUUUCUAGCGCAACCUUUUUGCAAUAAGCUUCCUUCACAGUGGUAGGUAUUAUAGCUCACAUAAUAAAGAGGUUCUUUCAUAACAGCCAAACGAUCACCUGAUCAUUGAAUCGAUACUUAGAACAUGAUUCAACAUAAGAGAGAAAUCUUACCCCAUGAGGUUAAGAACUCUGCAGCGUAUCUAUAGAUGCGGUUCAGAACUUCAAUCACAACAGCAUAAAUUAUGCUGGGCACAUACAAUAUUAAGCUGCUUAAUUCGGAUUGGUUCUCUUCAUGAUAUAAAUGCGCCUGGUAUUCCAAUUCAAAGUAAACCAUCAUGACAUAAAGUGAGAAG